RNAcentral lists this ribosomal RNA (253 nucleotides) under uncultured bacterium. RNAcentral's name for it is "partial 16S ribosomal RNA". It matches the Rfam family "Bacterial small subunit ribosomal RNA", at positions 524 to 776 of the family's 1533-position model. The record is from RNAcentral.
UACGAAGGGUGCAAGCGUUACUCGGAAUUACUGGGCGUAAAGCGUGCGUAGGUGGUUCGUUAAGUCUGAUGUGAAAGCCCUGGGCUCAACCUGGGAAUGGCAUUGGAAACUGGCGACCUAGAGUGCGGUAGAGGGUAGUGGAAUUCCCGGUGUAGCAGUGAAAUGCGUAGAGAUCGGGAGGAACAUCCGUGGCGAAGGCGACUACCUGGACCAGCACUGACACUGAGGCACGAAAGCGUGAGGAGCAAACAGG